Non-coding RNA from Rozella allomycis CSF55, 46 nucleotides. NCBI's taxonomy places the organism in Eukaryota, Fungi, Rozellomycota. The record is from Rfam.
CAAUAGGUCUUUUUAAAGACCACUCCUUUUAAAGAUGUUCAAUAAU